AGAGUUUGAUCCUGGCUCAGAACGAACGCUGGCGGCAUGCCUAACACAUGCAAGUCGAACGAAGGCUUCGGCCUUAGUGGCGCACGGGUGCGUAACGCGUGGGAAUCUGCCCUUGGGUUCGGAAUAACAGUGAGAAAUUACUGCUAAUACCGGAUGAUGACUUCGGUCCAAAGAUUUAUCGCCCAAGGAUGAGCCCGCGUAAGAUUAGCUAGUUGGUGAGGUAAAGGCUCACCAAGGCGACGAUCUUUAGCUGGUCUGAGAGGAUGAUCAGCCACACUGGGACUGAGACACGGCCCAGACUCCUACGGGAGGCAGCAGUGGGGAAUAUUGGACAAUGGGCGAAAGCCUGAUCCAGCAAUGCCGCGUGAGUGAUGAAGGCCUUAGGGUUGUAAAGCUCUUUUACCAGGGAUGAUAAUGACAGUACCUGGAGAAUAAGCUCCGGCUAACUCCGUGCCAGCAGCCGCGGUAAUACGGAGGGAGCUAGCGUUGUUCGGAAUUACUGGGCGUAAAGCGCACGUAGGCGGCCAUUCAAGUCAGAGGUGAAAGCCCGGGGCUCAACCCCGGAACUGCCUUUGAAACUAGAUGGCUUGAAUCUUGGAGAGGCGAGUGGAAUUCCGAGUGUAGAGGUGAAAUUCGUAGAUAUUCGGAAGAACACCAGUGGCGAAGGCGACUCGCUGGACAAGUAUUGACGCUGAGGUGCGAAAGCGUGGGGAGCGAACAGGAUUAGAUACCCUGGUAGUCC
This 742-nucleotide ribosomal RNA is filed under the name uncultured bacterium. RNAcentral's name for it is "bacterial SSU rRNA". It matches the Rfam family "Bacterial small subunit ribosomal RNA", at positions 8 to 796 of the family's 1533-position model. The record is from RNAcentral.